RNAcentral lists this ribosomal RNA (468 nucleotides) under uncultured bacterium. RNAcentral's name for it is "partial 16S ribosomal RNA". It matches the Rfam family "Bacterial small subunit ribosomal RNA", at positions 28 to 507 of the family's 1533-position model. The record is from RNAcentral.
GGCGAACGCUGGCGGCGUGCUUAACACAUGCAAGUCGAACGGAAAGGCCCUGCUUUUGUGGGGUGCUCGAGUGGCGAACGGGUGAGUAACACGUGAGUAACCUGCCCUUGACUUUGGGAUAACUUCAGGAAACUGGGGCUAAUACCGGAUAGGAGCUCCUGCUGCAUGGUGGGGGUUGGAAAGUUUCGGCGGUUGGGGCUGGACUCGCGGCUUAUCAGCUUGUUGGUGGGGUAGUGGCUUACCCAGGCUUUGACGGGUAGCCGGCCUGGGAGGGUGACCGGCCACAUUGGGACUGAGAUACGGCCCAGACUCCUACGGGAGGGAGCAGUGGGGAAUAUUGCACAAUGGGCGGAAGCCUGAUGCAGCAACGCCGCGUGCGGGAUGACGGCCUUCGGGUUGUAAACCGCAUUCGCCUGUGACGAAGCGUGAGUGACGGUAAUGGGUAAAGAAGCACCGGCUAAAUACGUG